UUGAAAUAAAGAAAGUUGGUUACCGCUCAUUAUUUUACUCUUUAGAAAUUUUACAAUAAAAGAACUCGAAUUUUAAUAUAAAUUUAUUUUCCAGAAAUGAAUAUGUUUGUCCAAAAAAAGAUUGUUUUUUUAGAAUGUAAAUUAAGUUUCACCGAAUUUCAAUUACUUCAAAUUUUCUAGUUCAGACUCCAACUUCUGAUAAGAUUCCGUAUUUUCCCAAAUGUUUUUUCCUUUCCCUAUCAAAGAACGCAAGACGCUCCUUGAUUUAAAUUUCCAAUCCUUAGCGACCACACCACCCAUUCUUCCUGGCAUUUCACCUAAAUUAGCGUAAGCUUCUACGAGUUCCAAAGCUCCCUCAACAGUCUUAUUCCAAGUUGCUUCAUCUGAGGUUACAUUUGGGCUUGAAAUUAGUAUUCGAUAUGCUUUUAAUGUUGCAUUCAAAGACUCGGCAAAAUGCCUUCUCCAUAAGUAAUAUCGAGCGACGAUUCUCCAUAAACGAACAUCGUUUGUAAUUAAAGGAACAACCAUUUUUAAUAGCUCGUUCAGCAUCCUAGCAAGACCUGAUGCGUCAUUGUCGCAAGAUUGCAUAACAUAAUUUACUACCAAAUCUAAACAUUGAACAUCCACAGCACGCUCACCCUCAUCUUUUCCUUUUAUUUCAAUAAUUCUUCUAAGAGCACGAAUUACUUCAGACCAUUUGUUAACAUCAACCGAAAUAAGCAUAUAGUUCUCCCAAAUACGCCAAUUAUCAUACAUGUAUUUAAUUCCUUGUUGCAUCGCAUGCCAUGCUUGUUCUUUGGUAUGAUCUUUUGCUUUUAACAUAGCACUAGCAAGAUUAUUCCAACUCUCUCCAUCUUCGGGGUUAAUCGACAAACAUCUGCUAAAAGCCUCCAUGGCAGCGUCAUAUUUUUGCAACUCCAAAGCAGCACACCCAUAAGUAAACCAGGUAGGAUAAGACAAGGGAUUUAUUUUCAGUGAUUCAUUAAAACAAUUCAUAGCCUGCAAUAGGUCACCUUUUUUGUAAUAAUAUUUACCCAAGGACCGUUGAGCCGGAGCAAAUCUUUUACAGGAUAACUCCCAUGCUUCAACAUAAUGUUUUGGAUUGUUUUCAAUAUCUCCGAGUAGAGUACGAAGUAAAAAAUCAUAUGGAUCAUUUUCCAAUUCUCGCUUUAUUACUUGAACGGCCAGAUCUUGACGAUUAAGUGAACAAUGGCACAUCACAACACAAUCCCACAUUUGUAAACGUUCAAAAAUUUCGAGGGCUGAUUUGGUGGCACCAACAGAGAUGAACCUUUCAGCCAAUUCAGCUUCUAACUGCCAUCUAGAUGGCAUCAGCAAAUUAUAAAAGUAAUUGAGACGUUCUUUCAACGAGGCAGAGUUUUCUCCAUCUUGCGGUUUUGGAAGGAAAGAUCCCAAACCUUCAUCGUUCUCUGGUUUAUCUACACCUUCAGGUGAUUUACCAAAACUCAAUUGAUCGUUAAGUUGAUCUAACAAUGCUUGCAUUUGAAGAACACUACGUUCAACAGUUCGACUUUUAAACCCCUCGAGACGAGCACGUACAAGCAAAGCCAUUGUAUAGACAGACCAAUUAACAGGAUAAACCAAAACGCGCUCUGCGUAAGGCGCCAUUUCUUCACGCGUAAGUCCAUCAUCAGGAUUGUUAUUCUUUAUGAUAUGGCAAAAUGCAAGUAAUAGAGAUGCGUCCAAUGGAUCAAGUUUCGAGGGAUGAUUGGGAUCUUCGGAUGACAAAAUCGGAUCAAGUUCUUCAGAAGGAGCCAAUGAUUUUUGAUCUUCUUUAAAGGAGAUUUUCUCCAAAAGAGUAUCAUCAUUUAACUCAAAUGUUAUCGGUUGAGUGCUAGUUGAUUUGUUCUGCUCGGUAUCUUUGCAUCGGUCUCUAGACUUUGCUAAAACAACUAGCUGCGAAGUAUCAAACGUUUGGAAUUUUGUGCGUCGACCAAGAGCACCAGUUAAUUCAAAAUGAAAGUCCAUUACUUUUGCUGAUUCCUUCAUCAACUGCAGAGCUAAAGUAUCACGACCGUAAUAAGAUUGUAUGAGGCCCAUUUCCAUAGUAAACCGCCCUUGUAAAUCUCGAUCUAGUGAAGAAACAUGACUACUCACGAUAUGCAUGCCUUCCAUUAUUUGAUUAAACAACUCUGAAACGUGCUCUUUAAGCAUUUGUUGGUGCAAAAAAUCAAGGCGAGCUUUAUACCAUAUGUGCAAAGGAUCUUUGCUAUUUGCGUAGUUAAAUAAAGUCUGCGAAAGUAAAAGAAAUAAAAGUUUUGGUGCAAGUCGAUAAGGCCUUUCUCCUUCCACAGUUAAACUUUUUAUAAUGGCAUCCUUUAAUGUAGCCUCGUCGCGUAAACGCUGUGGAAGCCAUAUUUCAGGCUUAAUGGGAAGAUAUGGUCCAGUAUAAUUAUUCUGAAUAAAAUAUUCCAACAUCUGUAUUGCAGUCUCAGCGAAUUGAUCACUGCUGACAUUUUUCCCUAGCGGCUUUGAAUCCCAAUAUUUGAACAAAAAUUUAGGAAUGUCAAUACUAGGACAGAAAAACUGAUCAUAUUCUUCUGUGCUUUUUAGAGAACCUCCAAAAAGGACCUCUUUAUUUUCUAUUGCUACCAUUGUUUGGCAAAACUGAAAAUUUUUGAUUCAACAAAUAUAUUUUCAGACAAUCAACCUAUUAAGCAUUUAUCCCGUCUAAUAGUGGAAUUUCUGUAUUUAAAACAAAAAGGAAAUCAAUUCAAUUCAGUAGUGAGUAAGGAAAAUAGCUAUU
Molecule: long non-coding RNA, 2767 nt
Filed under: Schizosaccharomyces pombe (fission yeast)
Lineage: Eukaryota; Fungi; Ascomycota; Schizosaccharomycetes; Schizosaccharomycetales; Schizosaccharomycetaceae
Source: RNAcentral